UAAAAUUUCACUGAAAUUCCACAAUAUCGCUAUUUCAAAAUUUCAAUGAAUUUCGUUAAUUUCAAAAUUCCACAAAUUUUCUUGUAGAAACGUAAAUGGUUUUUUUUUUCGUUAAUGGUUUUUUUUUUCGUAUUUUAACUAUUUUAUUUUAUCUCACUAUCUCGGCUCGGCUUAUAUAGGCUUGGCUCAGCUUCACUUGGCUUACUUCGGCUCAGCUCAGAUAGAGUUGCUAGGCAUUUAUCGGCUCAUUUGAGCUAAAAGCAGUCAAAAUUUAAUUCAACCAAGCCGACAUGAGCUGAGCCACGCCAAUGUAAACUGAGCUAAGCCUACACAAGCUAAGCCGAGCCGUUUUAAGCCGAGCCGAGCCGAGUGUAGUGCAUAUCACAUGGCCUGUUUUAUCCAUAGAGCCUUCCUCACACAACAUCUUUCACCCAUGGAUGUGGCACCAUUACUCUAAUGGUUGCUUUCACUCAAUUAGAGCCACACUCCCAAGAGUGCAAAAAUAUGAGUACCUAAACACAUAUGAAUAUAUGAGAGCGGAAAUCAAAAAACCAUGCUGCAAGGCUUUUAAAGGCGAUUUAUUCAGCUUCCAAUGCACUCAUGCCAUACGAAUUACACUAUUCUUCAUAUUACAUGUUCAUGUUUGACCUUUGCCCUGAUAGAGCUUUUGUAAUACUUUAUAUUUUGUAUCUCGUUUCAUUUGUGCUUCUCAUACUUGGAAUAUUGGAUUUCUGUUCGUUUCCUAUAUUUUAAUGGAAACUGCUAAAUGCCUUCUCUCUGUUGAAAAUGCAAUUAGUGGAAUACUGAAGCGAGCUUCUAAUGGGGAGGGAGCCUUCAAUUGAUCACUUUUAGUAUCAGAAUGUUGGUCCACUUUUUGGGCAUUGUCAUAGAUUUGGUGCGGUUAUUUUUUGUGCAUGGUUCUUUGAUACUGCAAACAUGAAUAAAACACCCACUUUACUCAUUUAAAAAACAAAUCAGAAAAGGAAAAAAAAGACGGAACUAUAAAUCAAGACCAAAUUUCUUGUUAAUGCUCCUGGAAUGACUGCUUCAUAUAGACACAAGUAUAACUUGAACUUUUUCAUUAAUGUUAACUAAUGGCUUUUCUUAUCCCGCUAGGCUUGCAAGACCUCACCUUGUUUCUAGCACUAGAAGGGCAAGUGAAGGUUUUAGCAGAUUUGGAGGAAAUGCUACACAAAGGGUGCGAAGCCAAUAAGUCCACUAAUGCCCAACAUAGCGUGCUCCCAUGAUGCGGUUAGACUGUUUAGGACAAUAGAGGCUGAGUGAUAACCAACAGUUCUACUGCGGGCAGCUGGACACUUGUGGCAGGUGCUUAAAGCUCAGGGUUUAGCAAUAGCAGGUGUCUAGUGGCGGUGCCACAGAGUUGUUUGAUGAAGUGAUGAAAUUUUGUUGUUAGGCCUGUAGUACGUUGAACAUAAUUGUAAAGAAUUUUUGGAGAAUGUAUAUGUAUAAAAUGGUUUUUCUCUA
This is a non-coding RNA of Amborella trichopoda, 1485 nucleotides long. The record is from RefSeq and is a predicted model, not a curated record. Lineage: Eukaryota; Viridiplantae; Streptophyta; Magnoliopsida; Amborellales; Amborellaceae.